Molecule: small nuclear RNA, 18 nt
Filed under: Arabidopsis thaliana (thale cress)
Lineage: Eukaryota; Viridiplantae; Streptophyta; Magnoliopsida; Brassicales; Brassicaceae
Description: snRNA_12280
Source: RNAcentral
GUAAACCCGUAAGGCGCA